GACGAACCGUACGAACGUUAUUCGGAAUCACUGGGCUUAAAGGGUGCGUAGGCGGCGCGACAAGUUGGGUGUGAAAUCCCUCGGCUCAACCGAGGAACUGCGCCCAAAACUGUCGUGCUCGAGGGAGACAGAGGUGAGCGGAACUUAGGGUGGAGCGGUGAAAUGCGUUGAUAUCCUAAGGAACACCGGUGGCGAAAGCGGCUCACUGGGUCUCUGCUGACGCUGAGGCACGAAAGCUAGGGUAGCGAACGGG
Molecule: ribosomal RNA, 253 nt
Filed under: uncultured bacterium
Lineage: Bacteria
Description: partial 16S ribosomal RNA
Rfam family: Bacterial small subunit ribosomal RNA
Source: RNAcentral